Long non-coding RNA from Peromyscus californicus insignis, 1206 nucleotides. RefSeq lists it as uncharacterized. Lineage: Eukaryota; Metazoa; Chordata; Mammalia; Rodentia; Cricetidae. The record is from RefSeq and is a predicted model, not a curated record. The transcript has 4 exons.
ACAAAGGAAAGGCGGCUCCCCGCGCCCGAGGGAACUAAAGAGCUAGAGGCUGUUUCCCCGGGAAUGCAGGGCUCCCUGCAAUGCAAUGAACCAACCCUUGUUCAGCUCCGGGUUAACAAAGAAAGGGAACCAUCCAGUGUUCACCCAGAGCCUUUGAAAAUAACCCCAUGCUACCAACCUAAACAACGCUUUAGGGACAUUUUCUUUCUGCCCCGAGAGAGGCUCAGCUCUUUGAUGAAAGAAAAAGGUGCUUGUUUUGUGUUUUGAAACAGGUUCUCACCGUGUAGACCAGGCUGGCCUCUGCCACUCCGGCACACCAAGUCCAAUUUGUGCUGAGGAUAUUCUCAUGGGUGUUGGGCCAACCACUGGAGGGAUGGCAUACCUACCAUGUAGUGGUUAGCUGUUCCAGCUUUGCCCUGGAAGUACUACCCCCAUUGAGGCUUCCGCUAACUGUCAUGCCUACAAGGCAGAGAGGAGAGAGGAGUCCUUAAGACCCAAGAUCCGGAUGGGCCGGCUCUCUUGGUUCCUGGAUCCUGGACGCUGGAGGUAGACCGAGCAGAGUUCUCCAGAGAACACCGCUGGACUGCGCUACACCUUUCCCGGACCCUGUAACCUAUCCCUUCACUUCACAUAUCAGAGUCUGGUACCUCGCAGGGCUGUGGCAAUGCCAGGAUGUGGGACAGCAAAGCAGGAGUGUGAAGCGCACAGAUCGUUGGUGCAGACAUGUUUAACUGCUUGUUCGGCCGUGAUUGACCUCAUUCUCCAUGCGUGCCUGCCACACUAUUCCCAGUCCCUAGACCACAGUGUCGAUAGUUUCCGAUGGUGACGGGCAUGAACAGCAGGAAGCAGCACAAGCAAUGUCUUCCUCCACCUCAGCAUGCAUUUUCAGGGUCUGGGAAGCUACUGUCCUCUGUUCAGAGCACCUGCAGGAGGGCAACAGUGGAUGAACACGGAUGCUGUGCCAGGGCACUGGGGUGGAGAGCCCGGCCCAGGCACUGCUGUCCCACAGAAGAGCACCCUCCUCCAGCAGCCAGGAGGACACAGGCAGGGGUCUCUUCCACACAGUGCUUGGAAAGGCACAGCCAUGCUAUGGUUCUUUGGACUUUUAUUUUCUGUAACCUAACCCUACCACCACCACCAUGUUUACUCAGUCUACUGCCACACAGGGCAUGUACCAUACAACCGAUUAAAGUCUUCUAAAGGACA